AUGUCGACCCCCUUCUGGCGGAGGCCAAACAAAGAUAAUUCUCCUGUUGAGCUCUCAGUUGUUCCCAGUGUUGGUGAAUCCAGUUUGAAUUCUCAGGAACCGGUGUAUUCUGGGACAGGAUUUGACCCAAAGAUCAGAUGGAAAGAUGACGAUAAAAUCCUAUUAGAAUGCCAAGUGAAUGAUUAUUACCCUGACAAACUCGAUGUACAGUGGCUUAAGGAUAACUCCAAGGUUAACACUUUAGCAAAAGAUAAAAAAUUUCAGAAUGCUGAUAAGAAGAAGAAAAGCUUUACUUUAAUAAGUCAGUUAACUAUCAGUGCUCAGGAUCAGGGCAAAAUGUACACUUGUAAAGCCACGCACAACUCUGAGGAAAUCACACAAAACUAUGAUGUGUGCAAUGAUUUACCCAAACCUUUGGUGACUGUAAAGAAAACCCAUCUCAGAGACAUUAUAAAGGAGAGUACAGUCACUGCUUCUUGUGUUGUUGAAGCACCAUACAACACUCAAGUGUCAUGGCUUAAAAAUGAAAGAAGUGUCCCCAAUACAAAACCACCAGUCAAAUCACCUUUGUCCAGCAGAUCACAGAAAAUUGUGAGCAACCACACUUUCACCAAAGAAGAUUGGUUGGGAGAUAAUAUUGUUUGUAAAGCUUCACAUCCAUGUUUCAAAGUAGAGGAACCUGUGAUUAAACCUGUUAAUAUACAGAAAGAUCCUGUCGUGGUGAUCAGGAGGUCUUUCACAGGAGGCAGUGCUGUACUGGAGUGUGUUGUACGAGAUCUUCCCUCUGGUGAAGUCUGCAUCACCUUCCAGUCAGGUGGUGUUGAUAUCUCACAAGUCAGUUGUGCAGAUGUGGCUUCUUCUGAAAACAACCGGUUCCUGACCACAGACUUUACAAUACCCAGUGACCACCAAAGGAAGGGCAAAACAUUUACAUGUAAAGUUCACAGUCCUUCCAAACAAUGGACAUCAAAACCUUCCGGAAACAUUUUUGAUAAUCCUACUAUUGAGCUCUCAGUUGUUCCCAGUGUUGGUGAAUCGAGUUUGAAUUCUCAGAAACUGGUUUGUUCUGGGACAGGAUUUGACCCAAAGAUCAUAUGGCUUUCAAAAUCUAAAGUGAAAUCUGACACAGCUGUAGAUGUCACAAUAGGUGAAGAUGGACGUUUGAAAGUGUACAGUGAGAUGUUGGUGCCACAACAAGACUGGAAUCAAGGGGUGAUAUUUACAUGUGAAAUUACUGAUAAGCACAAUGCUAUUAACAAAAGCAUCAAUAUUUGUUCAGUGGCUGACCAGAGCAGUCAGAUGGCAGAUGUCUAUUUACUAGGUCCCUCCCUCAGUGAUGUGAGAUCAAUGACAAACAUUUCUUUGACCUGCUUGGUUAUUGGUCAUCGUAUCAAGGAUUUCACAAUCCAGUGGAAAGUCGAUGGACAUAGUUCCGAAAUGCAAGGUUUUAUACAACAGCAUCAAGAUCAUGCAAAUGGGACUCAAAGCAUGCAGAGUAUUUUGAAGGUUCCGGUUAGCAGAUGGCAUGCUUAUAGUGUGUUCACCUGUGAAGCUAAACCUGUUUGCUCUGAAGUCACACAGGGAAAGAACAUCUCAAAAAACAGAAACCCUAAAGAACCUACUGUGAGGAUCCUCAAACCCUCUGACAGUGAUCUAUUUGUGUCUCAGGAUGCCAGUCUUCUUUGCUCGAUCACUGGUUUCUUCCCAUCUGAAAUCUCUGUGCAAUGGCAACUGAAUGGCACGCAGUUGGAUGAGUCUCGCUUUACUAACAGUCCUGUGGUUGCUCAUACUGCAGCUGAGGAUUAUUCAAUAUACAGUGCCUUAAUACUGUCUGCUUCACAGUGGACGAAGGACGUGUACUCAUGUGUAGUUUCUCAUGAGUCAUCUAAAAAUCCAAUCACUGCUACUUUGGAGGACUUGUAUGCUUCGUUGACCCACUCUGCUCCAUCUGCAAAGCUGCUGCAGGGUUCAAAUGAGCUGGUGUGUCUGGCAUAUGGUUUCAGUCCAUCUGAAAUCAGCAUCACCUGGCUGCUGGGCUUGAAUGAGGUGUCUAAUCAAAGUGUCCUGAUUACCGAUCCUGCAAAAGGUCCUGAUGGAAAAUUUACCAUCCAAAGCUACCUGCAUUUAUUACCUGCUGAAUGGGCACCUGGAGAGGUGUACAGAUGCAGGGUCACUCAUAUUACUGGUACCCAAUUGAUUAACAUCUCCAAACCAGAAAUAUUGGAAGAGGGUAUUUAUAUGAAUGAAAACAAGGAUGAAUCUAUUACACAGGAAUCUUUAGAGGAAGCCUGGAAAAUGGCCUGUGCCUUUCUCGUUCUUUUUCUCUUUUCCCUCUUCUAUGGAUGCGCAGUGACACUGGUCAGAGUGAAGACUGCAUGAGCA
Molecule: non-coding RNA, 2382 nt
Organism: Paramisgurnus dabryanus
Lineage: Eukaryota; Metazoa; Chordata; Actinopteri; Cypriniformes; Cobitidae
Source: the annotation of a RefSeq genome assembly